GGGGGCGACUUGGCUUCGACGUGAGUAGCAAAACCUUAGGUGCAUGCCGAGCUUUCAGGAAUCUCGUAAAACAUCUGAAAAAUUAUAGUUGCAAACGACGACAACUACGCAAUCGCUGCUUAAGAACCAGUAGAUUGCUGUCUGACUGGAGCCGUGCUUAUGCGUCCAG
RNAcentral lists this transfer-messenger RNA (169 nucleotides) under Cycloclasticus sp. Its description in RNAcentral is "partial transfer-messenger RNA". It matches the Rfam family "transfer-messenger RNA", at positions 1 to 177 of the family's 374-position model. From Rfam's summary of the family: Bacterial tmRNA, also known as 10Sa RNA or SsrA, is named for its dual tRNA and mRNA-like properties. Its role is to liberate the mRNA from a stalled ribosome. Lineage: Bacteria; Pseudomonadati; Pseudomonadota; Gammaproteobacteria; Thiotrichales; Piscirickettsiaceae. The record is from RNAcentral.